UAAAAAGCGAUGACCGUGUACAGUAGAGUACCAUUUCCUAUCAGAGAGAGAAAAUCACUGGCUGCAAGUUUUCUUUAGUUCAAAUGGCAAUUGAAAUUCCCACGAUAGCUGCAGGCUUGAAGUAAAAGUAGAGACUGCCGUAUGUUGUACGUUACACAUAACUUAAGAGCCUGUGAUACAGCUGCAGGAAUUAGGGUGGUACCGCGAAUGUUGAACUUCGUCCCUUUG
RNAcentral lists this non-coding RNA (228 nucleotides) under Clostridium sp. Its description in RNAcentral is "T-box sequence". It matches the Rfam family "T-box leader". From Rfam's summary of the family: Uncharged tRNA acts as the effector for transcription antitermination of genes in the T-box leader family. T-boxes are found upstream of many aminoacyl-tRNA synthetase genes and some amino acid biosynthetic genes usually in Gram-positive bacteria. The record is from RNAcentral. Lineage: Bacteria; Bacillati; Bacillota; Clostridia; Eubacteriales; Clostridiaceae.